GAUGAACGCUGGCGGCGUGCCUAAUACAUGCAAGUCGAGCGAACGGACGAGAAGCUUGCUUCUCUGAUGUUAGCGGCGGACGGGUGAGUAACACGUGGAUAACCUACCUAUAAGACUGGGAUAACUUCGGGAAACCGGAGCUAAUACCGGAUAAUAUUUUGAACCGCAUGGUUCAAAAGUGAAAGACGGUCUUGCUGUCACUUAUAGAUGGAUCCGCGCUGCAUUAGCUAGUUGGUAGGGUAACGGCUUACCAAGGCAACGAUGCAUAGCCGACCUGAGAGGGUGAUCGGCCACACUGGAACUGAGACACGGUCCAGACUCCUACGGGAGGCAGCAGUAGGGAAUCUUCCGCAAUGGGCGAAAGCCUGACGGAGCAACGCCGCGUGAGUGAUGAAGGUCUUCGGAUCGUAAAACUCUGUUAUUAGGGAAGAACAUAUGUGUAAGUAACUGUGCACAUCUUGACGGUACCUAAUCAGAAAGCCACGGCUAACUACGUGCCAGCAGCCGCGGUAAUACGUAGGUGGCAAGCGUUAUCCGGAAUUAUUGGGCGUAAAGCGCGCGUAGGCGGUUUUUUAAGUCUGAUGUGAAAGCCCACGGCUCAACCGUGGAGGGUCAUUGGAAACUGGAAAACUUGAGUGCAGAAGAGGAAAGUGGAAUUCCAUGUGUAGCGGUGAAAUGCGCAGAGAUAUGGAGGAACACCAGUGGCGAAGGCGACUUUCUGGUCUGUAACUGACGCUGAUGUGCGAAAGCGUGGGGAUCAAACAGGAUUAGAUACCCUGGUAGUCCACGCCGUAAACGAUGAGUGCUAAGUGUUAGGGGGUUUCCGCCCCUUAGUGCUGCAGCUAACGCAUUAAGCACUCCGCCUGGGGAGUACGACCGCAAGGUUGAAACUCAAAGGAAUUGACGGGGACCCGCACAAGCGGUGGAGCAUGUGGUUUAAUUCGAAGCAACGCAAAGAACCUUACCAAAUCUUGACAUCCUUUGACAACUCUAGAGAUAGAGCCUUCCCCUUCGGGGGACAAAGUGACAGGUGGUGCAUGGUUGUCGUCAGCUCGUGUCGUGAGAUGUUGGGUUAAGUCCCGCAACGAGCGCAACCCUUAAGCUUAGUUGCCAUCAUUAAGUUGGGCACUCUAAGUUGACUGCCGGUGACAAACCGGAGGAAGGUGGGGAUGACGUCAAAUCAUCAUGCCCCUUAUGAUUUGGGCUACACACGUGCUACAAUGGACAAUACAAAGGGCAGCGAAACCGCGAGGUCAAGCAAAUCCCAUAAAGUUGUUCUCAGUUCGGAUUGUAGUCUGCAACUCGACUACAUGAAGCUGGAAUCGCUAGUAGUCGUAGAUCAGCAUGCUACGGUGAAUACGUUCCCGGGUCU
Molecule: ribosomal RNA, 1372 nt
Filed under: uncultured bacterium
Lineage: Bacteria
Description: bacterial SSU rRNA
Rfam family: Bacterial small subunit ribosomal RNA
Source: RNAcentral